Molecule: ribosomal RNA, 255 nt
Filed under: uncultured bacterium
Lineage: Bacteria
Description: partial 16S ribosomal RNA
Rfam family: Bacterial small subunit ribosomal RNA
Source: RNAcentral
UACGUAGGGUGCGAGCGUUUGUCCGGAAUUAUUGGGCGUAAAGAACCUGUAGGCGGUCUGUCGCGUCUGCUGUGAAAAUCCGGGGGCUCAACCCCGGACUUGCAGUGGGUACGGGCAGACUAGAGUGUGGUAGGGGAGACUGGAAUUCCUGGUGUAGCGGUGAAAUGCGCAGAUAUCAGGAGGAACACCGACGGCGAAGGCAGCUUACUGGGCCGAUACUGACGCUGAGGCGCGAAAGCCAGGGGAGCGAACGGG